GAUGAACGCUGGCGGCGUGCCUAAUACAUGCAAGUCGAGCGAACAGACGAGGAGCUUGCUCCUCUGACGUUAGCGGCGGACGGGUGAGUAACACGUGGAUAACCUACCUAUAAGACUGGGAUAACUUCGGGAAACCGUAGCUAAUACCGGAUAAUAUAUUGAACCGCAUGGUUCAAUAGUGAAAUACGGUUUUGCUGUCACUUAUAGAUGGAUCCGCGCCGCAUUAGCUAGUUGGUAAGGUAACGGCUUACCAAGGCAACGAUGCGUAGCCGACCUGAGAGGGUGAUCGGCCACACGGGAACUGAGACACGGCACAGACUCCUGCGGGAGGCAGCAGUAGGGAAUCUUACGCAAUGGGCGAGAGCCUGACGGAGCAACGCCGCGUGAGUGAUGAAGGUCUUCGGAUCGUAAAACUCUGUUAUGAGGGAAGAACAAAUGUGUAAGUAACUAUGCACGUAUUGACGGUACCUAAUCAGAAAGCCACGGCUAACUACGUG
Molecule: ribosomal RNA, 497 nt
Filed under: uncultured bacterium
Lineage: Bacteria
Description: partial 16S ribosomal RNA
Rfam family: Bacterial small subunit ribosomal RNA
Source: RNAcentral